GAUGAACGCUAGCUACAGGCUUAACACAUGCAAGUCGAGGGGAAACGACAUCGAAAGCUUGCUUUGAUGGGCGUCGACCGGCGCACGGGUGAGUAACGCGUAUCCAACCUGCCCACCACUUGGGGAUAACCUUGCGAAAGUAAGACUAAUACCCGAUGAUAUCCCUAGACGACAUCUGAAAGGGAUUAAAGAUUUGUCGGUGAUGGAUGGGGAUGCGUCUGAUUAGUUUGUUGGCGGGGUAACGGCCCACCAAGGCAACGAUCAGUAGGGGUUCUCGAGAGGAAGGUCCCCCACAUUGGAACUGAGACACGGUCCAAACUCCUACGGGAGGCAGCAGUGAGGAAUAUUGGUCAAUGGGCGAGAGCCUGAACCAGCCAAGUAG
Molecule: ribosomal RNA, 382 nt
Filed under: uncultured bacterium
Lineage: Bacteria
Description: bacterial SSU rRNA
Rfam family: Bacterial small subunit ribosomal RNA
Source: RNAcentral